RNAcentral lists this ribosomal RNA (433 nucleotides) under uncultured bacterium. RNAcentral describes it as "partial 16S ribosomal RNA". It matches the Rfam family "Bacterial small subunit ribosomal RNA", at positions 29 to 507 of the family's 1533-position model. The record is from RNAcentral.
AACGAACGCUGGCGGCAUGCCUACCACAUGCAAGUCGAACGAAGGCUUCGGCCUUAGUGGCGCACGGGUGCGUAACGCGUGGGAAUCUGCCCUUUGGUUCGGAAUAACAGCUGGAAACGGCUGCUAAUACCGGAUGAUGACGAAAGUCCAAAGAUUUAUCGCCAGAGGAUGAGCCCGCGUUGGAUUAGGUAGUUGGUGGGGUAAAGGCCUACCAAGCCGACGAUCCAUAGCUGGUCUGAGAGGAUGAUCAGCCACACUGGGACUGAGACACGGCCCAGACUCCUACGGGAGGCAGCAGUGGGGAAUAUUGGACAAUGGGCGCAAGCCUGAUCCAGCAAUGCCGCGUGAGUGAUGAAGGCCCUAGGGUUGUAAAGCUCUUUUACCCGGGAAGAUAAUGACUGUACCGGGAGAAUAAGCCCCGGCUAACUCCGUG